UAUAAGAGUGUUAAGCUCGUAUGCGUAGUGAAAGCGAUAGCUGUGAAAUUUGCAACAGCGGCCAGGCUUUAAUGUUUGUGUUUGAGCAUAAUUUGUUAGACCCGAAAGAUGGUGAUCUAUACCUGAGUUGGGUGAAGCCAGAGGAAACUCUGGUGGAAGCCCGCAGCGAUACUGACGUGCAAAUCGUUCGUCGAACUUGGGCAUAGGGGCGAAAGACUAAUCGAACCAUCUAGUAGCUGGUUCCCUCC
This 248-nucleotide non-coding RNA is filed under the name Euroglyphus maynei. RNAcentral's name for it is "Eukaryotic large subunit ribosomal RNA". It matches the Rfam family "Eukaryotic large subunit ribosomal RNA", at positions 691 to 962 of the family's 3401-position model. The record is from Rfam by way of RNAcentral. Lineage: Eukaryota; Metazoa; Arthropoda; Arachnida; Sarcoptiformes; Pyroglyphidae.